AACUUUCAACAACGGAUCUCUUGGCUCUCGCAUCGAUGAAGAACGCAGCGAAAUGCGAUAAGUAAUGUGAAUUGCAGAAUUCAGUGAAUCAUCGAAUCUUUGAACGCAAAUUGCACCCUUUGGUAUUCCGAAGGGUAUGCCUGUUUGAGUGUCAU
RNAcentral lists this ribosomal RNA (155 nucleotides) under Derxomyces schimicola. RNAcentral's name for it is "5.8S rRNA". It matches the Rfam family "5.8S ribosomal RNA". Rfam says of the family: 5.8S ribosomal RNA (5.8S rRNA) is a component of the large subunit of the eukaryotic ribosome. It is transcribed by RNA polymerase I as part of the 45S precursor that also contains 18S and 28S rRNA. Lineage: Eukaryota; Fungi; Basidiomycota; Tremellomycetes; Tremellales; Bulleribasidiaceae. The record is from RNAcentral.